Aegilops tauschii subsp. strangulata is the source of this 2648-nucleotide non-coding RNA. NCBI's taxonomy places the organism in Eukaryota, Viridiplantae, Streptophyta, Magnoliopsida, Poales, Poaceae. The record is from RefSeq and is a predicted model, not a curated record.
GAGGAGGAGGACGCCUGGAUUUGGCCCCGGCCUUGGCCUCAGCCCGUGGAGUUGGUGAUGGCAUCGUUAGAGGCCCGGGCCUCCUCUCCGGACAAGGCACUCGUGCUAGGCGGCGGCGAUCUGUGCGCCGGUUCAAGGAGGAAUGACAGCAAAGAGAAGAGAUCUUUUUGAAAUUCUUAAGGCCGGGUUAAGGCAGAUGUCGACGGCAUGGAUCCGUCGACGGGGGCCUGGUGGGCGUGGCGGCGGCUGGAAGGGUAGCAGAGGCCUGUGGGGCGUCGGCCGGAACGGCAGCGAGAGAAACCUUCUCUUCUCCCCUCCUUGCGUCCUGGGCAUCUUCCUCUCCAAGUUUACUGGUUUUGGUUCAGUUUGAAGGACUCAUCGGGCUUAAGAUCUUGGUUUCAUUAGAAUUACAGAAUUUCUUUGCUCGGUAGUCUUGCCGUCUUGCCGCUGGUGGCAGGUUUUACUUUGUGGGGUGUAGAUUCUUAUUGCCGGUGACACCUCAUGAAUUUUCUUUUCAAGCUUUAAUUAGUCUUGCCGUCUUGCCACUGGUGGCAGGUUUUACUUUGUGGGUUGUAGGUUCUAUUGCCGGUGACACCUCAUGAAUUUUCUUUUCAAUCAUUAAUUUAUAUGGUCGUUCGCUGGAUGCUCGCUGCUAUGUAUGGUUCAUAUGGCCGCCGACUCGAAAAUCACUGCUAUCUUUGGGUCAUGAUAUGGUCGUCGACUAGACGCACGCGGUUUGAAUGAUCUCAUUGCCUAUGGCUGGCAAUACACACUUUUCUUUACUAGCCAGCCAGGAAGGCGUCUCGGCUCGCGAUCGCUGCGCCGUGAGCAACAACGCUCAUUACUACCUGCCAGGCCUUCUCAAAGUGAUUGAAAUUUGGUAAAUUCCAUUCCUUUGUGCUGCAUUGUACCUUCCAUGCUUUUUGCAGUCAGUGAAUCUGAUAUCAUAACCUCUCAUUUAGAAUUUUCUUGAUAGGCAAAACAACCAGUUCUCAUUUAUCUGGAUGGUUUUCAAAAUGGCAUAAUAUGUCAUUUGCACUAUCAUCGAUCAUUGAAAUUUAGUUGCUCCAGUUUUUCAUAGAUUACAAUUGUGUAGACUUUGUCUUUUCCACUUACCAUCGCCAUUUUUGUGAUGAUACUUCACUAGGAAUAUUUUUUGGUGCUUCUCAUCUGAAAAUGGAUUCAGAAUGUGGUCAGUUUUGCAAUGCAUGGGAGUUCAAUUUUUCUGCAUGCACAGUUAUAUAUUUUUAGUCCAUUGACUUGAAAAGUGAGUGCUUCUUGGUUGUUUCUGUUGUUUAUCCAGGAGGUUCUUGGUGCUUGGUUUUUUGCUACUUGUGCAGUAUUGUACUAUGCCCAUAUAAAUGACGAAUUAUAUUUUGUUCCGCGGACGAGCAAAGUUUGCUGUCUGCGUAGUAACUUUGGUGGCGAGCCCGAGUGCCGGUGGGAGCAGUGGCCGGGUCAAGGCAGGUGUUGACGGUCUGGGAUGGUCCACGGCACCGGCAUCCUCAGCAGAAAGGCAAAGCCAAGAUGAAUCUCUCAUAUUUUUGUCAGCCAUGGAUCAGAAGAUGUAGAAGAAAAAUCCAUGUUUUGUUUCUUUGUGCCUACAAGGUGUUUGAUGAAAUCCAAAAAGGCUGACAGGGGAGGACUGAUCUAUGUAAGUCAUGCGAUUUCAUUUUUCUAUUAUUUAGUUCCAUUCAAAGAUAACAAGUUAGGUAGGAGUAGUAACUUGUUUAUGACUUAGUCUAUGUUUAGUCUUGUGUAUUGUUAAUCUGUCUUUGCUCCCUCGCAAAAAUUAAAAUCUUUUCGCUGCUAUAUGAGAAUUUGUAGCAAUUAAAAGAAGCCAAUGGAAGCUACAUAACUGAAGAAAUGUUCAGUUCUAUAUAUUACUUGGACCUGAUUACUUUAGAAUCUUUUCGCUGCUAUAUGAGAAUCGUUAGCAAUUAAAAGAAGCCAAUGGAAGCUACAUAACUGAAGAAAUGUUCAGUUCUAUAUAUUACGUGGACCUGAUUACUUUAGAAUCUUUUUGCUGCUAUAUGAGAAUUUGUAGCAAUUAAAAGAAGCCAAUGGAAGCUACAUAACAGAAGAAAUGUUCAGUUCUAUAUAUUACUUGGACCUGAUUACUUUAGAAUCUUUUUGCUGCUAUAUGAGAAUUUGUAGCAAUUAAAAGAAGCCAAUGGAAGCUACAUAACUGAAGAAAUGUUCAGUUCUAUAUAUUACUGUAACAUCCCAAAUUUUCAAUUUGGAAUGUUUUACAAUUAUUAGCUAAGCAUCUAUGCAUUUUGUUUGAAUUGUAUGGCAUUUGAAAAUUUUCAGAGGCAUUUGAGUUUUAUUUGAAUUUGGAUUCAACUUGGCAUUUGAAAUUUAUUUCAAAUAUCCCUGACAAAUACUUGUUUAAAAGUAUGAGAGGAGCAAACAUGACAUUCCAAAAAAAUGUCAGAAGAAAAUAUUGCCAAAAGGUUUGAAUUCAAAUUUGAAUUUUAUUUGGAAUUUGCAGAAAAUGUUUUUUUAGUUUCCGUUUUGCCUCUGGAAAAAUGUCCACGUUGUAGGAUUUUGUUUCUAAUUUUUUGAUAUAUAAUAUGUCCUAUAUAAAAAUACUAUAGGUUUCACUAUAAUUAGUUUUCUCUAUCUGUGGUAAUUCAAAAAAAAGG